GACGAACGCCGGCGGCGUGCUUAACACAUGCAAGUCGAACGGAAAGGCCCUGCUUUUGUGGGGUGCUCGAGUGGCGAACGGGUGAGUAACACGUGAGUAACCUGCCCUUGACUUUGGGAUAACUUCAGGAAACUGGGGCUAAUACCGGAUAGGAGCUCCUGCUGCAUGGUGGGGGUUGGAAAGUUUCGGCGGUUGGGGAUGGACUCGCGGCUUAUCAGCUUGUUGGUGGGGUAGUGGCUUACCAAGGCUUUGACGGGUAGCCGGCCUGAGAGGGUGACCGGCCACAUUGGGACUGAGAUACGGCCCAGACUCCUACGGGAGGCAGCAGUGGGGAAUAUUGCACAAUGGGCGGAAGCCUGAUGCAGCAACGCCGCGUGCGGGAUGACGGCCUUCGGGUUGUAAACCGCUUUCGCCUGUGACGAAGCGUGAGUGACGGUAAUGGGUAAAGAAGCACCGGCCAACUACGUG
RNAcentral lists this ribosomal RNA (468 nucleotides) under uncultured bacterium. RNAcentral's name for it is "partial 16S ribosomal RNA". It matches the Rfam family "Bacterial small subunit ribosomal RNA", at positions 28 to 507 of the family's 1533-position model. The record is from RNAcentral.